AACGAACGCUGGCGGCAGGCUUAACACAUGCAAGUCGAACGGGUGUAGCAAUACAUCAGUGGCAGACGGGUGGGUAACACGUGGGAACCUUCCUAGGGGUACGGAACAACUCAGGGAAACUUGAGCUAAUACCGUAUACGUCCGUGAGGAGAAAGAUUUAUCGCCCUUAGACGGGCCCGCGUCGGAUUAGCUAGUUGGUGGGGUAACGGCCUACCAAGGCGACGAUCCGUAGCUGAUCUUAGAGGAUGAUCAGCCACACGGGGACUGAGACACGGCCCAGACUCCUACGGGAGGCAGCAGUGGGGAAUCUUGGACAAUGGGCGCAAGCCUGAUCCAGCCAUGCCGCGUGAGUGAAGAAGGUCUUCGGAUUGUAAAGCUCUUUUGCCAGGGACGAUAAUGACGGUACCUGGAGAAUAAGCCCCGGCAAACUUCGUGCCAGCCGCCGCCGUAA
RNAcentral lists this ribosomal RNA (451 nucleotides) under uncultured bacterium. RNAcentral's name for it is "partial 16S ribosomal RNA". It matches the Rfam family "Bacterial small subunit ribosomal RNA", at positions 29 to 523 of the family's 1533-position model. The record is from RNAcentral.